CCUACGGGAGGCAGCAGUGAGGAAUAUUGGUCAAUGGACGAGAGUCUGAACCAGCCAAGUAGCGUGAAGGAUGACUGCCCUAUGGGUUGUAAACUUCUUUUAUAUGGGAAUAAAAUGUUCCACGUGUGGGAUUUUGUAUGUACCAUAUGAAUAAGGAUCGGCUAACUCCGUGCCAGCAGCCGCGGUAAUACGGAGGAUCCGAGCGUUAUCCGGAUUUAUUGGGUUUAAAGGGAGCGUAGGUGGAUUGUUAAGUCAGUUGUGAAAGUUUGCGGCUCAACCGUAAAAUUGCAGUUGAAACUGGCAGUCGUGAGUACAGUAGAGGUGGGCGGAAUUCGUGGUGUAGCGGUGAAAUGCUUAGAGAUCACGAAGAACUCCGAUUGCGAAGGCAGCUCACUGGACUGCAACUGACACUGAGGCGCGAAAGUGUGGGUAUCAAACAGGAUUAGAUACCCUAGUAGUC
Molecule: ribosomal RNA, 460 nt
Filed under: uncultured bacterium
Lineage: Bacteria
Description: partial 16S ribosomal RNA
Rfam family: Bacterial small subunit ribosomal RNA
Source: RNAcentral